GGUGGUGAGUCCUCCGAUAAAGGCAAGGAAAUUGUACCCGAGGACCAGUAAUCUGAGUAUUUCGAGAAUCCCCACUCUGGACAUUGCUCAGAAAAAUCUGUAGAUAGCUCAUUUCAUCGAGGAUUACAAUUGGAUUGACAUCCUCAAAAUAUGGUUUCGGUUGGCAUUUCGGGAGGUGAGUGCCCAUAGGGGCACCGUGGCGGUUGUCACGGGUUCGAGGGGAUUUCUGGGUCGUGACACACGGUAACCUAAUUAUAUACCUACCUCCGAGGGGAGAUGUUGGAUGAAGUAUCUCCUAAGGUAAGAUUUGAGUGCACCUCACAUUCGGGCCACCACGUGAGA
Molecule: non-coding RNA, 342 nt
Organism: Theobroma cacao (cacao)
Lineage: Eukaryota; Viridiplantae; Streptophyta; Magnoliopsida; Malvales; Malvaceae
Source: RefSeq, a predicted model, not a curated record